RNAcentral lists this ribosomal RNA (1310 nucleotides) under uncultured bacterium. RNAcentral's name for it is "bacterial SSU rRNA". It matches the Rfam family "Bacterial small subunit ribosomal RNA", at positions 50 to 1392 of the family's 1533-position model. The record is from RNAcentral.
AACACAUGCAAGUCGAACGAGAAAGGGGCUUCGGCCCUGAGUAAAGUGGCGCACGGGUGAGUAACACGUGACUAACCUACCCUUGAGUGGGGAAUAACUUCGGGAAACCGAGGCUAAUACCGCAUAACACCUACGGGUCAAAGGAGCAAUUCGCUUAAGGAGGGGGUCGCGGCAGAUUAGUUAGUUGGCGGGGUAAUGGCCCACCAAGACGGUGAUCUGUAUCCGGCCUGAGAGGGCGCACGGACACACUGGAACUGAAACACGGUCCAGACUCCUACGGGAGGCAGCAGUGGGGAAUUUUGCGCAAUGGGGGAAACCCUGACGCAGCAACGCCGCGUGGAGGAUGAAGUCUCUUGGGACGUAAACUCCUUUCGAUCGGGACGAUAAUGACGGUACCGGAAGAAGAAGCCCCGGCUAACUUCGUGCCAGCAGCCGCGGUAAUACGAGGGGGGCGAGCGUUGUUCGGAAUUAUUGGGCGUAAAGGGUGCGUAGGCGGUUCGGUAAGUCUUGUGUGAAAUCUUCGGGCCCAACUCGAAGUCUGCACGAGAAACUGCCGGGCUUGAGUGUGGGAGAGGUGAGUGGAAUUUCCGGUGUAGCGGUGAAAUGCGUAGAUAUCGGAAGGAACACCUGUGGCGAAAGCGGCUCACUGGACCACAACUGACGCUGAGGCACGAAAGCUAGGGGAGCAAACAGGAUUAGAUACCCUGGUAGUCCUAGCCCUAAACGAUGAUCGCUUGGUGUGACGGGUACCCAAUCCCGCCGUGCCGAAGCUAACGCGUUAAGCGAUCCGCCUGGGGAGUACGGUCGCAAGGCUGAAACUCAAAGGAAUUGACGGGGGCCCGCACAAGCGGUGGAGCAUGUGGUUUAAUUCGACGCAACGCGAAGAACCUUACCUGGGCUCGAAAUGUAGUGGACCGGGGUAGAAAUAUCCCUUCCUAGCAAUAGGCUGCUAUAUAGGUGCUGCAUGGCUGUCGUCAGCUCGUGUCGUGAGAUGUUGGGUUAAGUCCCGCAACGAGCGCAACCCUUAUUACCAGUUGCCAUCAUUCAGUUGGGCACUCUGGUGAGACCGUCUCGGAUAACGGGGAGGAAGGCGGGGAUGACGUCAAGUCCUCAUGGCCUUUAUGUCCAGGGCUACACACGUACUACAAUGGCCGGUACAAACCGUCGCAAACCCGUGAGGGGGAGCUAAUCGGAAAAAGCCGGCCUCAGUUCGGAUUGGAGUCUGCAACUCGACUCCAUGAAGCUGGAAUCGCUAGUAAUCGCAGAUCAGAAUGCUGCGGUGAAUACGUUCCCGGGUCUUGUACACACCG